This is a long non-coding RNA of Brassica rapa (field mustard), 5798 nucleotides long. RefSeq lists it as uncharacterized. The record is from RefSeq and is a predicted model, not a curated record. NCBI's taxonomy places the organism in Eukaryota, Viridiplantae, Streptophyta, Magnoliopsida, Brassicales, Brassicaceae.
ACUAGAUUUUGGAUCCGCGCACCCGCGCAGAUGUAUCUUCAAAAUGAUUAUAUGUUAAGCAUUCAUGUUACUUGUUCAUAGUUUAUAGAGUUUUGGGAUUGGUGUAUUUUGUUCAGUUUGUUCAGUAUCCAUUUUUAAACUAUGGGGAUGUAUUUGUUUUGGUACAAAUUUUCAUUUUACUUGGUAACGUGAAUAUUAAAGUGUAAAAUAUUUGAGUAUUAAGUUUAUAUUGUGUGGGUUUAUUAAAUUAUACUAAAAUUUUAUGAUUUAAAGUAUAUUUUAAAGUUAUAAUUAUAUAUAGUUUUUAAACAGUCAUAAUAAAUACUAAUGAAAAGAUAAAAAAAUAUACUAUUCGAUUUUUUUCAAAAUUUCUUAGUUUUUUUUUUAAAUUAAAGUAAUUACGCGAAUAUAUGUCAUUAAUGGUUAGAUAUUAUAUGUGAUUUGAAAGAUUAGAAGCAAAAUAAGAGUAUGACUGGUUUUCCCGCUAUCACCCGCAAACACAACUUUUGCGGUUGGUAGUGGUUGUUGACGUUUUGCAACAAUAAUUCAAAUCGCUCUAAACCGUUUCAAACCGCUCUAAACCUCAUUAAUUCAAAAGCUGGUUCCAGCUAGCUUUGCGGUUGCGGGAGGAUAAUAUUUUUUCAAACAAUAUAAAUACAAAAAAUAAAAAUAUUCAAUAAAAUUUUUAAAUUAGAAUUAUAAAAAAUACUAAAAUAUAUCUAUUUUAUUUAAUUAAUAUUAUAAAUUUUAAAUUUUUUAGUAAUUUUUAAUAAUUUUUAAUAAUUUUUAAAAAUUUAAAACUAUAAACUUCUAAAUAUAAUUUUUAUAUUUAUUAUAAUAUUAUGAUUUUUGAUAUUUUUAUAAUUAUAAAAAAUGUAAAUAUUGUUAAUUUAUUAUUUAACAGCUGCUUCAUUGGUAGUUAAUCAGUCAUAAGUAUUUCACAAAUGCACCAAUUUCUAACUGCAGAUACAUUUGUACAAAUUUUUUAAAACCGUUAGAAACCGCAACCGUUGCGUUUGGACCAGCCAGACCCUAAGAAUAUUGUGGUAGUUGAUUGAUAUCAAAAUGGUUAUGGUGAUUGCUUAGAUAUAGGAAAAGAUUUGGAAGAUAAUUUCAGUUAGGAAAAUAAUAAAUGAUAAUUUUCAAUUUUGAAUUACAUAAUUUAUAAUACAUAUACUGGUUUUGAUUCGGCAGACGAAAAUUAAACCGAUGGAAUUCUAUUGUUAAGCAAAGUUAUUAAUAUGUAUAUAGGAAUGUAUCUAUUGACUCAUUUGAUUCAUUAGACAAAGAUGAACGAUCGAUCGUAGACAAACAAUACAAUUUGAUUUUGUUUAGUAAUGUUAUAAAAUGAUACGAAGGAAAGUACGUAUUAUAUUUAGAUGGUGUACAAAUGUUCUGGUUUAGUAAUGGUAUUUUAUUUUAAGGGUUUAUUAAAUAAAUCAAACGAUUGAGGGUUUAGUAAAUCAACCAAACGUCUGUGUUUUACUAAUGGUAUACAACGAUAUUUUUACUUUAGUAGCAAUUGUAAUUAGAUGGGCUUGUUAUGCUUUGGUUUAGUAACGGUUUUGUAAUAUCAUGAAUUAGUAUUAGCAAUAAAUAAAACGGUUGUGUUUUAAGGACAGUGGCAUAAGAAUGUAAUUUUUGAGGAAAAUUCAGGGUUAAAUAAAAUAUGUAUCAUGUUUUAAUAGAUUAGAUGGUAUGCUGGGUUCGAUAGCCAGUGACUGAGUUUUGGUGUUUUAAUGUAAACUCUAGGGCUAAUGAAUAAAAUUACCAGAGUGCCCUCAUCUUUAAUGUUAGACCUGCAAAUUUUACAGUCGACCUGUAUUCCACAUCUGACUUUUUUUUUCAUUUUUUUGCGUUUUCUUCAUUUUUUUCUUUUUAAUCUUGUUCAUUUCGACUUAGGUAUAUCAUAUCUGUAUUAUAAAUCAUGAUUUUGAACUUGAAAUCAACAAAAUGAUGAACUUUUUAUUUUUGACUGAUUAACCAACCGAAUCAGGCUAAAUCGCCAUGGUGAGAGACCGAAUUAAGUUUUCUCGGCGAGUAAUCGGAUGCGGAGAGCGCAUUUUUGAACAAGGGUUAAAAGCUAGGGGUGAGAAAAAAAAAAACCAAAUCGAUCCAACUGAACCCAACCGAUCUAAACCAAACCAAAGUAUAUGUUUAACCCAUUUGGUUCAAGAUUUUAACAACCCAAAUAGGUCGGUUUGGUUUGGUUUUAACCCGAACCAAACUGAAAAACCAAAGUAUUUUUUUAAUUAGAUUAAUUAUAUAUCCUAAUAAUAUUAAGAUCUGAUAUAUUUAACCAUUUAACCUAAAAAAAUUAACAUAAUCUAAUACAUUUUAAUUUUAAAUGAAUAGAAUAAACAUAACUAAAAAAUUAAAUAAAAAAUAUAAAUCUCAUAAAAAAAAUAUUUUAUGAUAUUUAUAUUAGGUUUAAAGAUAAUAAUAUAAAAUUAUUGGAUUAUAUUUUUUAUAUAUUUAUUGGUGAUAUUUGGUUUUACGUUUAAAUAUGAAGAAAAUAAUGAUUAGUCAAAUGAUGUUUUGUUUAUGUUUUUAUAAAUCAUAUUUUGUAAUUGAACUAAAAAAAAACUAAAAGAUCAACUCGGUUGAACUGAAAAAUACAGACAAAACCAAAUUAAACUGAACCAAACACAAACCAAACUAAAACGAACCGAACCAUUGGGUUGACUUUGGUUCAAGUUUUCUUAGACCCAAAUAACCCAAACCAAACCGAACCCGUAAAUAAAUCGAAAUGUCCACCCCUGGUUAAAGCCAAUGAGAAAGAGUCCAUUUAGCUCACGAGUUGUCCCGAUUUUUGUAUAGGACAUGCGUUGUUCCCUUUCCGAUCUCCAGUAUCAAAACAAUGAAGCGCACAUGUUCAUCACACGCUUCUUUAACGCGAAAGGUUUAGGUGAAUUAUCCCACUACAAGAAAACACACCACAUUCCGACGGCUAUACCGAUGGACAAGACUUUCGUCGAUUUCUUCUGACGGAAUUCCGACAAGAAACCGACGAACUAUAUUUUUGUAUUCGUCGGUUUGUCGUCGGAAAUUUUCGAUGCCAAACCGACGAAACUUGUGUCGUCGGAAAUAUCCAACAUAAUUCCGGCGGAUAUUUUGACCGUUAGGAGCUCCGACGAAUUACCGACAAAAAUAUUCCGAUGGCUAUUUUGACCGUCCGGAUUCCGACAGAAUUCCGACGGAGAAAUUUGACCGUUUUAGAAGUCUGAUGCAUUUCCGACGGACAUAUUUUGACCGUUCGGAUUCCGAUAGAAUUCUGACGAAGAAAUUUGACAGUUUUAGAAAUCCGAUGAAUUUCAUACGAAAUUCCGACGAAAUUCAAGUUUCCAACAACGAGAUCAUUGACAAGAUGAAGCGUUUGUUCCCAAAUGAAUUUUAGUUUUUUUUUUGUUUAAAAACAUGAAAAUGUUUUUUUAUUUAUGUAAAACGUUUUUGUAUAAUAAGAUUAUCUUUAAUUUCAGUUUUUAUUGAUUUUUUUAAAAAAAUUCUAAAUUGCACAUUUAUUUAAAAAUAAAAUAAUAAAAUUAUUCGAAAUAGUAAAAUAAUAAAAAUUCCGACGAAACUUAUUCUGUCGGAAAAUUCCGACGGGCAGUAUCGUCGGAAAAGUCCGUCGAAUAGGUUUCCUCGGAAAUUUCCGACGAAUGUUCACUGUCGGAAAUUUCCGACGAAAGAGAUCCGUCGAAAAUAUCCGACGAAACUGCUCGUCGGAGUUUUCCUGCGGACUCCGACGGAAUUUGGCUCCCAGAAAUUCCGACGGAUUCUGGUGUCGUCGGAAUAUCGGAGUAAAACUAUCGUCGGAAUUUUGUCGGACAUAUUUCCGACGACAGCUUCUAUCGGAAAUACAUUCCGACCAAUUACCGACGAAACCCUUCCGAUGAAACGUGCUGUCGGAUAUCCGUCAGAAUAUUAUCCAUCGGUAAAGAUCGGAAUUUCGUCAGAAUUUGUGACGAAUUUCCGACGACCUUUUUUCGACCAGUUGACCGUUUUCGUCGGAAUUUUGUCGGAAUUGCCAUAUUCCGACGAAAGUUCGACGAAUAUGGCCGUCGGAUUUCGCGUGUUUUCUUGUAGUGUCCAUUUUAUUCCGAAUAUCUGAUCUCUGUGUCACUGACUGUAUCUCCUGUCUCAAUCCAAAAUUAAAAUAAUAAAUAAUCAAAUUAUGAGAAAGAGGAUCAUCAGAAAGCUACGUAGGAGGAGAAGAAGCUUCUCUCUCUUAUACACUCAAACCAGUAGAAAAUUUGAUUUUUGUAUCUGUUUCCAAAUCUCUGUCAGCUUUUUGAGUCCUUCAUCAACUAAGGUUUAUGAAAAGCUUUUCUCAAUUGGCUUCAUAGGUGAGAGACUUCUUCAUCCUUUUCAAGUCUGUAUUCUCUUAACAGCCAGUUUGAUGCUUUGUUGGGGAUCCAAUAUCUUCUUCUUGCUUAGACUUGUGGAUGUAGUGAGACAUGGUUUCUAUGGUAAGAGCAUCUCCAAUGGUGCUUCAUUUUCCAAUUUUGCUUCGUUAUUUUUUAUUCCAUUGGUACUUCAUUUUUUUCUUCAUUUCUUCAAAUUUUGAAGAAUUGAACAAUAUUUCUUUAAAUUUGAAGAAAUAUUGUUCGGUUCUUCAUUUUUUUAAGAUGAACUUUUUUAUUUAUAAACUAAUCCUUAACUUUUAUUUAUUGUUAUUUUUUUUACUUAAACAAAUUAAAAGUUUUAAUGUCAUCCAAUUAAUUUCAAAUUGUACACUAUUCCUUUUAUCUAAUUGAAUGUUAAUAAUGAAGAAUAUGAAAUUAUUGAUUUCUAAGAAUUUUAUGUUCAAUUUAAAAGAAUUUAGAAUAAAAUAAGCUCAAUAUUUGUUUUAAAACACAUUUUUAAUCACUUAAGACAUAUAUGUAUUUAGUGCUUUUUAUAAAAUCCUUUAUUUAUUUAUUUAUGUGUAAUAAUUGUAUUAUAUAUAAUAAUUAUUAAUUUAUAAUAACUAGUAAUUGAGUCGAAUUAAUGUUAAAACAAAACAGAUGGGUAAAAUUAGUAAAUUUGAAAAAGUAUACGGUAUUAUUAAUAAUUAAUUAUAAAGUGGUGGUAGAAUAUACUUAGAAUAUUUCAUUUUGAAGAAAAAUAUGAAGCAAACCAUUGGAGAGCUGAGCAUGUUACUUUAUUUUUGAAAAACUUCAAAUUUUGAAGAAAAAAAAUGAAGAUCAUUGGAGAUGCUCUAACGGUGGGUUUUAACAUGAGGAAAGUGGCAGAAGGAAAUGUUACAAUCAAAUUAUGGGAUCUUGGCGUUCAACCAAGAUUCCUCAGCAUGUGGGAACGUUAUUGCCGCUCUGUUGCUGCCAUUGUGUAAAGGAUCUUCGACUCUUGAUUGGCUCGUAAAACAUUCAAAUUUAAAGAAUUAAACUUCACCAAGAACAAAUGUUCUCUCUCUUCUUGAUCAUCUUAGUCUUCCUGUCUUGUGUGCUUUGUUGUUGAUGAUGAUGAUGGUUGAAGACAAUUCUCAGUAUGAAACAAGACUUGGUCUCUCCUACUGGUCUGAUCAAGUCUUGUCUCUGUAUAUCAGAUGUUGAUUGCAUUCUAUUCAUCAGCAUUGCAAUCUUUGAUAACACAAAAACAAAGUUGGCUCAACCUUAAAUUCAAAACUCAAAGAAAGAGAAAUAAGCAGGGUAUCAUCAAAUCCAAGGUUUUGCUUAUUUCUCUUCAAACCAGUUUGUAAAUGGGUUACGAGAAACCUCUAAAGUUAUUACAAAAACAGAUAAACAUAGCAAUGGGAAAAAGUUUUAGAUAGUAUAGAUAACAAUGUUACAUUCAAGCUU